AUAUCAGUCAUGCAUAGCAUAUCAAUAAGCGGAGGAAAAGAAACUAACAAGGAUUCCCUUAGUAACGGCGAGUGAAGCGGGAAGAGCUCAAAUUUGAAAUCUUCAAGGUUUUACCUUGACGAAUUGUAGUUUAAAGAAGUGUUUUCUGUUGAAGUUUUGGUAAAAGUUCUUUGGAAUAGGACAUCAUAGAGGGUGAGAAUCCCGUAUUUGACCAUUACUUUCAGCUUUGUGAUACACUUUCAAAGAGUCGGAUUGUUUGGGAAUGCAGUCCAAAAUGGGUGGUAAAUUUCAUCUAAAGCUAAAUAUUAGGCGAGAGACCGAUAGCGAACAAGUACCGUGAGGGAAAGAUGAAAAGAACUUUGAAAAGAGAGUUAAACAGUACGUGAAAUUGUCAAAAGGGAAGCGUUUGACACCAGUGUUGUUUUCUCGAAAAUCAAUUAAAAAGAGUUGGAUUUUGUGUUGUAUUGACUUUAUCAGCUUUCUUCACUCUUUUCCAGCUUUUUUUAAUGCACUUUUCGUUUAACAAGUCAACAUCAGUUUCUUUUGUUGUAAAAAGGUCAUUGGAAGGUGGCUUUCUCUUCGGAGAAAGUGUUUAUAGCCUUUGACUCAUGCAAUCGGAGAGACUGAGGUCUGCAGCGUAGAUCCUUCGGGGUUAGAUACAUUUGUGCUAAGUUAUAGCUUUUCAUAGACAACUUGUUGACUAUGUUUAGUCUUGUAGCUUACUCGCUUAUGCUAUUUUACCUACGCUUAGGAUGUUGAACUCUAUCACACACA
This 774-nucleotide ribosomal RNA is filed under the name uncultured Neocallimastigales. RNAcentral describes it as "partial large subunit ribosomal RNA". It matches the Rfam family "Eukaryotic large subunit ribosomal RNA", at positions 22 to 615 of the family's 3401-position model. The record is from RNAcentral. Lineage: Eukaryota; Fungi; Neocallimastigomycota; Neocallimastigomycetes; Neocallimastigales.